UCGUGUCGUGAGAUGUUGGGUUAAGUCCCGCAACGAGCGCAACCCUUGUCUCAUGUUGCCAGCGGGUAAUGGCGGGGACUCANGAGAGACUGCCGGGGUCAACUCGGAGGAAGGUGGGGAUGACGUCAAGUCAUCAUGCCCCUUAUGUCCAGGGCUUCACACAUGCUACAAUGGCCGGUACAAAGGGCUGCCAAUCCGUGAGGGGGAACGAAUCCCUUUAAAGCCGGUCUCAGUUCGGAUCGGGGUCUGCAACUCGACCCCGUGAAGUCGGAGUCGCUAGUAAUCGCAAAUCACCAACGCUGCGGUGAAUACGUUCCCGGGCCUUG
Molecule: ribosomal RNA, 326 nt
Filed under: uncultured Actinomycetes bacterium
Lineage: Bacteria; Bacillati; Actinomycetota; Actinomycetes
Description: bacterial SSU rRNA
Rfam family: Bacterial small subunit ribosomal RNA
Source: RNAcentral